This 253-nucleotide ribosomal RNA is filed under the name uncultured bacterium. RNAcentral describes it as "partial 16S ribosomal RNA". It matches the Rfam family "Bacterial small subunit ribosomal RNA", at positions 524 to 776 of the family's 1533-position model. The record is from RNAcentral.
UACGGGGGGGGCAAGCGUUGUUCGGAAUUACUGGGCGUAAAGAGCUCGUAGGCGGUUCGUCGCGUCGGCUGUGAAAUCCCGAGGCUCAACCUCGGGUCUGCAGUCGAUACGGGCGGACUGGAGUUCGGCAGGGGAGACUGGAAUUCCUGGUGUAGCGGUGAAAUGCGCAGAUAUCAGGAGGAACACCGGUGGCGAAGGCGGGUCUCUGGGCAGUAACUGACGCUGAGGAGCGAAAGCGUGGGGAGCGAACAGG